RNAcentral lists this ribosomal RNA (460 nucleotides) under uncultured bacterium. RNAcentral's name for it is "partial 16S ribosomal RNA". It matches the Rfam family "Bacterial small subunit ribosomal RNA", at positions 338 to 795 of the family's 1533-position model. The record is from RNAcentral.
CCUACGGGGGGCAGCAGUGAGGAAUAUUGGUCAAUGGGCGGAAGCCUGAACCAGCCAAGUAGCGUGCAGGAUGACGGCCCUACGGGUUGUAAACUGCUUUUAUACGGGAAUAACGCGCCUCACGUGUAGGUCUUUGCAUGUACCGUAUGAAUAAGGAUCGGCUAACUCCGUGCCAGCAGCCGCGGUAAUACGGAGGAGGCAAGCGUUAUCCGGAUUUAUUGGGGGUAAAGGGAACGCAGGGGGGUUUUUAAGUCAGUUGUGAAAGUCUUCGGCUUAACCGGAGUAGUGCAUUGGAAACUGGGAGACUUGAGUGCAGUAGAGGUAAGUGGAACUCGAUGUGUAGCGGUGAAAUGCGUAGAUAUAUCGAAGAACUCCGAUGGCGAAGGCAGCUCACUGGUCUGCAACUGACGCUGAGGUUCGAAAGCGUGGGUAGCAAACAGGAUUAGAUACCCCGGUAGUC